Molecule: transfer RNA, 73 nt
Filed under: Bacteroidota bacterium
Lineage: Bacteria; Pseudomonadati; Bacteroidota
Also listed under: 2 other names
Description: Bacteroidetes bacterium (groundwater metagenome) tRNA-Ala
Rfam family: tRNA
About the family: Transfer RNA (tRNA) molecules are approximately 80 nucleotides in length. Their secondary structure includes four short double-helical elements and three loops (D, anti-codon, and T loops).
Source: RNAcentral
GGGGCCGUAGCUCAGCUGGGAGAGCGCCUGAAUGGCAUUCAGGAGGUCGUGAGUUCGAUCCUCAUCGGCUCCA